Rhodamnia argentea is the source of this 200-nucleotide long non-coding RNA. RefSeq lists it as uncharacterized. The transcript is spliced from 2 exons. NCBI's taxonomy places the organism in Eukaryota, Viridiplantae, Streptophyta, Magnoliopsida, Myrtales, Myrtaceae. The record is from RefSeq and is a predicted model, not a curated record.
CUGCGACAUAUGCUGGGAGCUCCAUCACCAUUGGGGAGCAUAGAAAAAGAAUGGCACAUGAAUUGGGGAUGGAACCGACGUAUGUAGCUACAUUCGAACGCACAUUUCAAAAGAAAGAUAAGACAUGGAUUGGUGAUCGAGCAAAAUCUAUUAAGGUAUGCAAGGUUAUACUUUUCACUUUAUGGAAACUAGAAUGAAAA